This is a long non-coding RNA of Cimex lectularius (bed bug), 1168 nucleotides long. RefSeq lists it as uncharacterized. The record is from RefSeq and is a predicted model, not a curated record. The transcript is spliced from 7 exons. NCBI's taxonomy places the organism in Eukaryota, Metazoa, Arthropoda, Insecta, Hemiptera, Cimicidae.
UUGUGUUCAGAGUUCGGCCCAGAUUGGCGGGACAUGGACAGUGGUGUCCCUUUCUAGGGACAAAGGGCCGCAGAGGACGUUUUAUGGCCAGGGGACGAAAGGGCCUCGUAAAACUAUCGGUUCCGUUACGCAAUUGUAAACAAACAGCAAUAAAACCGUUUUGUCCUGGUCGGCUUUCACUUUUCCCAUAGAUUUUUCGGCACCUGACCAGGUAAGCCAAUCAGUCCAUGAGUAAGUCCCACAGGUGAAACAGCUAAACAGCAGAGGUUCCUGAAUCCCGAACAGGAAUUCACGACAUGCCAGUCCGUCGGGAGGCCGCAUCCAUGGUAAAAUCCCUGUGGAAGGAGAGUGGGAAGUUGCCGACCGCAGGGCUCCCGGGGGGAUUUUUGCUCAAGACUUGUUAGAGAACUUGUCAUGUACACUUUGGGGUUCACUUUAAUUAAGAACUGUGUUCCAGCCAGCCGGGGAAGAAGAUAAAUUGAGAAUAGGGUUACUAGGGUGAAGGCGUUGAAAGGGAAUCGUAACAAACCACCACCGUAAGGGUUGGAUAGUUGAGGGGGCUCAAGGCGGCACAACACUCAUAAAGUACAUUCCCAACCCCCACGAGAUACAUUUUUGGUAUAGAACAUAUUACUACUGGACGUGAAAUGUAAAUCAGCGUAAUAACUGUACAAAGAAAAAAAGUCGGAACUGGAGUGGUUGGAUUUUUAAGUGAGAUCGGCAAAGGGGUGCCAACCAUUCUUUUGAUGUCCUAAUGGCACUUGUUAAACGGUGUGAAUUUCAGCCAGUAUGCAGGUUAUUAAGCGCCGGUAGCAUAAACGCCAGAAAACAUUUCUUUUCAGAUUUAUCGCCCAUUUGAAUUCCGUUCACCAACCAUUAAUGUCCAAGUUGGAACACGUUUCGUUUCUUCUUAACGCCUUUGAAGUAAACAUGCGGAAAUGAGAAUGAAUACUCUGCCCUAUUGGUAUGUCUUGCGUUCUGCAUGAUGAUGAGCCUGAAGUUGGUGGUUUCAGAUCAUUUUGGGCUUUAUUUUUCCUAUUUUGCUCUAUUACUCUUUUAAAAAUAAUGCACAUGUGCAGUCUCUAAAAUAAUAGUUUACCUAAUUAAAAGGAAAAUGAUAUCACAUGUUUGUAUAAGUAUAUUGUGUAUAUGAAAGUAUGUCGCACAA